GCCGGAUCCACGUAUUUUUCACUCAAUUAUCGGGUUCGCAAACAAUCGAUUGAUCCUGAUUGGGAUGAUCGGAGAGUCCGAAAAUGUGGCCGGAGUUAAAAUUUGGAAAGUGAAUACGGAGAAUUUUGAGUGUGAGGAAUUGGGGGAAAUGCCGGCGGCCUUGAUUCAGAAGGUUAAGAGUGAAACCUAUGGAGUUUCUUCAAUCAGUGUUUGCUUAGCUGGCAAUUAUGCGUACAUGAGCAAGUCGUCGGAGAUGGCGGAGGAGAUAGUAGGUUGUGAGUUCGGAAACGACGGCGAAUUACGGUGG
RNAcentral lists this unclassified non-coding RNA (307 nucleotides) under Hevea brasiliensis (rubber tree). The record is from RNAcentral. Lineage: Eukaryota; Viridiplantae; Streptophyta; Magnoliopsida; Malpighiales; Euphorbiaceae.